CUGGCGGCGUGCCUAACACAUGCAAGUCGAGCGAGGAGAUCCUCGGGAUGAUCCUAGCGGCGGACGGGUGAGUAACACGUGGGCAACCUGCCUCAUAGAGAGGAAUAGCCUUCCGAAAGGGAGAUUAAUACCUCAUAACAUUGCAGUUUCGCAUGGAACAGCAAUUAAAGGAGUAAUCCGCUAUGAGAUGGGCCCGCGGCGCAUUAGCUAGUUGGUGAGGUAACGGCUCACCAAGGCGACGAUGCGUAGCCGACCUGAGAGGGUGAUCGGCCACAUUGGGACUGAGACACGGCCCAGACUCCUACGGGAGGCAGCAGUGGGGAAUAUUGCACAAUGGGGGAAACCCUGAUGCCAGCAACGCCGCGUGAGUGAUGACGGCCUUCGGGUUGUAAAGCUCUGUCUUCAGGGACGAUAAUGACGGUACCUGAGGAGGAAGCCACGGCUAACUACGUGCCAGCCGCCGC
RNAcentral lists this ribosomal RNA (464 nucleotides) under uncultured bacterium. Its description in RNAcentral is "bacterial SSU rRNA". It matches the Rfam family "Bacterial small subunit ribosomal RNA", at positions 36 to 518 of the family's 1533-position model. The record is from RNAcentral.